GUAAAUGUAUUUAUUAUGUGAUAGAAAGUUUGAAAGUAAUGUUUGGUAAGUCAUAAUAUGUUGUGUUUAAAAUUGCGGGAUUACAAAGAAAUAGUCCGACCUCCUAUGAUGAAAGACUUAAUAUGAUCAAACAGUUAUCGUGGUCCUUUAAUUCGUAGUUGUCAGGUAAAACAAAAUAAAAGAUUAGUAUGUAGAAAAGAGGUUUCAAUUCAAGGCAUGGUAAAUAUGAUGCUUAAAAAAUCGAUUUUGGUUGAGAAACUGCAAAAUAGCAGUAUAAAAAAUGAGUUUUAUGAAAAAAAAAUGUAUUCACUACUUUAAUUCCAAUUAACAACUUUUUAAAUGACUGUUAUAAAUUGAUGAACUAUAACUAAGGAAUUUUAGAAAUAAAAAAAAUCGGGAAAUUGAUUUAUUAGCAACACAUAGAUAAAGCCAGAGGAAUCCGAAUAUCAACAAUGUUUUUAUUGCAC
This 467-nucleotide long non-coding RNA is filed under the name Mytilus galloprovincialis (Mediterranean mussel). Lineage: Eukaryota; Metazoa; Mollusca; Bivalvia; Mytilida; Mytilidae. The record is from RNAcentral.